UUGAAACUUCGGUUUAUGUACGUUCACCGAAGUUAAACAACGCCGAGCCUGGUUAGUACAUAGAUGGGUGACCGCUUGGGAAUACCAGGUGCAGUAAG
Non-coding RNA from Acanthosepion pharaonis, 98 nucleotides. Lineage: Eukaryota; Metazoa; Mollusca; Cephalopoda; Sepiida; Sepiidae. The record is from the annotation of a GenBank genome assembly.